AAGAGUAACGGAGGAGCACGAAGGUUGGCUAAUCCUGGUCGGACAUCAGGAGGUUAGUGCAAUGGCAUAAGCCAGCUUGACUGCGAGCGUGACGGCGCGAGCAGGUGCGAAAGCAGGUCAUAGUGAUCCGGUGGUUCUGAAUGGAAGGGCCAUCGCUCAACGGAUAAAAGGUACUCCGGGGAUAACAGGCUGAUACCGCCCAAGAGUUCAUAUCGACGGCGGUGUUUGGCACCUCGAUGUCGGCUCAUCACAUCCUGGGGCUGAAGUAGGUCCCAAGGGUAUGGCUGUUCGCCAUUUAAAGUGGUACGCGAGCUGGGUUUAGAACGUCGUGAGACAGUUCGGUCCCUAUCUGCCGUGGGCGCUGGAGAACUGAGGGGGGCUGCUCCUAGUACGAGAGGACCGGAGUGGACGCAUCACUGGUGUUCGGGUUGUCAUGCCAAUGGCACUGCCCGGUAGCUAAAUGCGGAAGAGAUAAGUGCUGAAAGCAUCUAAGCACGAAACUUGCCCCGAGAUGAGUUCUCCCUGACCCUUUAAGGGUCCUGAAGGAACGUUGAAGACGACGACGUUGAUAGGCCGGGUGUGUAAGCGCAGCGAUGCGUUGAGCUAACCGGUACUAAUGAACCGUGAGG
RNAcentral lists this ribosomal RNA (629 nucleotides) under Escherichia coli. RNAcentral's name for it is "partial 23S ribosomal RNA". It matches the Rfam family "Bacterial large subunit ribosomal RNA", at positions 2293 to 2916 of the family's 2925-position model. The record is from RNAcentral. Lineage: Bacteria; Pseudomonadati; Pseudomonadota; Gammaproteobacteria; Enterobacterales; Enterobacteriaceae.